GGGCGUAUAGCUCAGCGGUAGAGCACCUCCCUUACAAGGAGGUGGUCGGGGGUUCGAUCCCCUCUGCGCCCA
Transfer RNA from Nocardioides sp. JS614, 72 nucleotides. It matches the Rfam family "tRNA". Rfam says of the family: Transfer RNA (tRNA) molecules are approximately 80 nucleotides in length. Their secondary structure includes four short double-helical elements and three loops (D, anti-codon, and T loops). The record is from Rfam. NCBI's taxonomy places the organism in Bacteria, Bacillati, Actinomycetota, Actinomycetes, Propionibacteriales, Nocardioidaceae.